Molecule: long non-coding RNA, 626 nt
Organism: Papaver somniferum (opium poppy)
Lineage: Eukaryota; Viridiplantae; Streptophyta; Magnoliopsida; Ranunculales; Papaveraceae
Exons: 2
Source: RefSeq, a predicted model, not a curated record
CAUACACCCCUCUCCAUAUAUUCUGUCUUAGAAAAUUUUCUAUAUUUGGUAUUAGAGCUGGAGCAGAGGUGUGAUUUGAGAGAGUUACUAAACAAAUGAGAGGUUUUGAAGAACAAAAAACCUUUUUGGUUUGUUUCAAGAUUUAUGAUUAUGAUGAUGAUGAUGAUGACGACGAUAUCGACAACAAAUCAAAGACACUGAUUCAUGAUGAUGAUGAAGGAUGAUGGAUGAUGCAAUUGUACACUGAUGAAUUAAACAUGUUUGAAUUAAGUGAAGGUGUUGGAAUUAGUAAUCCAAACAGACUAAGUUAAUUGAUUUAAUCUUGACGAAAAUAUGUGAUUAAUCCUAAGUACUUAGGAUUGGUAAGUACAUGUUAGUCCUAGUAUUCUGGGAGUAAUUGGCAGUCUUUAAUGUGGGAGUAUAUUUCCUACUAAUUAGGAAUUAAUGUGUUUAGUGGGUUACUUGUUAAGAGUUCCUUCAAGAUAGUAAUGCCUAUUUAAAGGCUUUUAUGUUAUUGAGAAAAGUGUAUCAGAGUUGUUAAACAGUGUAGUCAUAUAUCCCUCUUCAUAUUCUGUUCUAGAAAAUUUUCUACAAUCCAAACACGUUUAAUUAUGUCUUUCAAUAAA